AUGAACGCUGGCGGCGUGCCUAAUACAUGCAAGUCGAGCGAACGGACGAGAAGCUUGCUUCUCUGAUGUUAGCGGCGGACGGGUGAGUAACACGUGGAUAACCUACCUAUAAGACUGGGAUAACUUCGGGAAACCGGAGCUAAUACCGGAUAAUAUUUUGAACCGCAUGGUUCAAAAGUGAAAGACGGUCUUGCUGUCACUUAUAGAUGGAUCCGCGCUGCAUUAGCUAGUUGGUAAGGUAACGGCCUACCAAGGCAACGAUGCAUAGCCGACCUGAGAGGGUGAUCGGCCACACUGGAACUGAGACACGGUCCAGACUCCUACGGGAGGCAGCAGUAGGGAAUCUUCCGCAAUGGGCGAAAGCCUGACGGAGCAACGCCGCGUGAGUGAUGAAGGUCUUCGGAUCGUAAAACUCUGUUAUUAGGGAAGAACAUAUGUGUAAGUAACUGUGCACAUCUUGACGGUACCUAAUCAGAAAGCCACGGCUAACUACGUG
RNAcentral lists this ribosomal RNA (496 nucleotides) under uncultured bacterium. RNAcentral describes it as "partial 16S ribosomal RNA". It matches the Rfam family "Bacterial small subunit ribosomal RNA", at positions 29 to 507 of the family's 1533-position model. The record is from RNAcentral.